CCUGGGGUUUUUGGGGGAAAGCCGCCCCCGGACUCCAGAGGGGCCUUUCGGGUUCUUCAUUCCGCCCCUGCCCCCGGGUGGAGGAUCGCGGAGCGGGAGGAGGAGGAGGGAGUGCGUGGGCUCGCCUUCCCUGCAGUGAGAGCGGCUUCUUCGGUCACCCUCGGCUCGUUCUUCGAUCUUUACAUUUUUGGCCAGAAUCCUGCAGCCACUAUGCCCAGCUGGCUGCUGGUGGGGAUUUGGGGAGAGGUAGUCCGAAAAAUAAGGUUCCUAAGUGUCUUUUAAUCCCAGACUGCGGCCUCCACCCAAUACGUGUGGGUGCGGUGCAGAAGAUAAAGAAGGUUUGUUAUGUGUUGCUCCAGAAUGCAGGCAUGGAGGCUGGGAUUGGUCAUUUCUCAGCAAUGCUCUAACUGCUUCUGCACUGAGUCAAGGAUUGAGUUAGAUUUGGUUGGAGGACUGGAGACCACUUCCCAUUUGAGGGGCCCAAGCAGCUCAGAAGUGCCCCUAUGAGCUUAUAUCCCCAUUUUAGUUGAUGGCCAAGGUCCCUUCCAAAGCUUUGAUUUUCCAUUAAUUUGUGGGCUAACUUCUAUCCACUACUUGUUGAUGGUGUUCUGAUGCAAUUGGAAAGGAACAGUGUUCCUGUGUGGUGGCACUUGUUAUCAAGAGGAUUUCCCACAGAUGUACCUCUACUGCAGGUUCAGUGGACUUAUGUGUAGAUGAAGUGACCCUUUUCCCCUUAGGAACCAGUGAAAUGAAAGCACUGCUUUUUAAAUUACGAUUUGCAGAUUCUUGUUGUUUUUAUUCUAAAGGGUAAGUGCUUUUUUGGUGGUUUCAGGAGUCGUAGCUGUGUUUGUAAUGUAACUUUAUCUCCUCAGGGUAAUUGCCAGGUGAAGCCUGUCUGCCUGUGAACAAGUCAAUUCUGGGAACACUGAUGUGUUUUCCAUAAGGUUUGGAUGGAACAAAAAAGAACACAGCAGAAAAUUGUGAUUUUUCAUCCAGGUAGAUGCAGACGGCAGAGGAAUCCACAGGUACUACCUAGAGAAUAGUGUUAAAAUAUUUCAUCUGCCAUUUUUGUUCUGAUGUAAUUCUUGCUUAUUUAGAGUUAACUAAAUAAAAUCUGAUGUUUAAAC
Long non-coding RNA from Pogona vitticeps (central bearded dragon), 1127 nucleotides. RefSeq lists it as uncharacterized. NCBI's taxonomy places the organism in Eukaryota, Metazoa, Chordata, Lepidosauria, Squamata, Agamidae. The record is from RefSeq and is a predicted model, not a curated record.